RNAcentral lists this long non-coding RNA (1008 nucleotides) under Cyanistes caeruleus (blue tit). RNAcentral describes it as "lncRNA (ENSCCEG00000008676.1)". The record is from RNAcentral. Lineage: Eukaryota; Metazoa; Chordata; Aves; Passeriformes; Paridae.
AAAUAUUCGGUAGAUAUCCACAGUGAUAGACUCUUCCCCCAUAAACAAACAUUAUGGUCCAACUUCAGUGAUUAAACUCAGCAAACGUCAGUUUCCCAAUCUUAUUUUGUAAUCUUCUAAUGUUUCAUGAAGACACCAGGAUUAAGAGCCUCCAAGAAUUUUUAUAUCACUUGGACAAUAGAUACCACAGAAAUGUUCUGCCUACAAAGCACAUACGAAUUCCCAGCAGCAUUGUGUGCGGCGCACAUUAUUUAACACCGCGUGUAAACCCCCCGGCAGGCGCAUCUAGGCGCAGCGCGCUGCUUUGCAUUUGCAAUUAUUACCCAACCUUUGCAUCCCUUGCGCUGAUACCGGCCCCAUUCCCAGCUGCGGAGCCACAUCUGGCCGACUGACGAUGCCAACAAGUUGGGGCGAGGCAGGGCCGGGCAGGACAGGGUAGGAUGCGGGCGGGAUGCUGGACCAGCCGCGGCGGGCGCGGAGCGGGCGCNCCCGGCGCUCUCCCUCACCCGGUCCCAGCCUGCGCUAGGGGACGUUCUGCUCGGGCGUUCUCCGCAGGAAGAGCUGUUAGACAUUGGAACGGGCUGCCCAGGGCAGUGCUGGAGUCACCGUCCCUGGAGGUGUUUAAGGAAAGACCACCGAGUGCUGGUGUGGUUGUCACAGUGGUGUCCGCUCAUAGACUGGACUCGAUGAUCUCGGAGUCUCUUGAUUCUGCGAUUCUGAGCACUGACCUGCGCCCAGAUUGUUUGUCUGUCCAGAAAUCUCCUCCCUGUUUACAGAGAUGUUCCUCAAACCAUGUCAAGUGCUCUGAAGUAGAACUCCAGAUUGAGUUCAAGAUUACUCAGGAAUUCAGACUUAAAUGCAAAUUUUUGAGUAAUGAUAAACAGUAGUAAUUACUACUAAUUAUAUGUGUAUUGUUCUUAUUAUACAGCAAGUGUAUGGCACUUCACAAAUAUUGAUGGAGUUAGUCUGAUAGUGCCAAGAUAAUAAAAGUAAAGAUAAAUUUAGGCA